CAUCGCUCUUGGCUCUGGCUCGUGGCCGCUCCCGGAUCCAACAUGGACACACCAACCGCCGCCUGACGUCACACCCUUAAGCACCAACCACCUUUUUUUCAAAAAAAACGGUCACUUUCACCUUCCCCCGUUUUUCAGACCACCUCUACCAAAAAAAAACCCACAAGGAACAAAAAUUCGCCGCGACAUCAGGGCAUGGCCCUUUAAACACACUUCAUUUUUCGGAAAGUUGAGCUGCAGGCGAUGGCCCCAUCCCCCACCGCCGUCAUGGUGCCAGGAAUUCGGUGCAUGGAGGCUGCUCGCUUGUUUGGGUUGUUGCUCUCUGUCGCUCCACUGCUGUUGAACGGAAUAACGGUUUAUUGCCCGCACACAUCCCCACUCUUCAAGCAGAAGAAGAAACCUCCAGAUUCUCUGGCAGAGUCCCUUUUCCUGACUUAUCCGCUCUGUUGUUAUGUAACACAAAGGACUAGGAGUCCGAGUUAAUACAUGAAACACAAACAAAAUUACAGGAACACUCAGCAAGUCUGGCGGCACCUGUACAAGAGUUAAAUAGAGUUCAUGUUUGACCGUUUUGUGCGGCACUGGGAAAACGUUAAGAUGCAAAGGAACAAAAAAAACACAACGACUGCUCUGGCCAGCAUGAUAAGAAGCUACAGAAGGUUAUGAAUACUGCACAGACCAUCACGCAAGCCAACCUUCCAUCCAUUGACUACACUUCUCAAUGCCUGGGAAAGGCAGUCAACAUCAUCAGAGAUUCUUCCCGCCACUUUUAUAAUCUAUUCCAACCUUUUCUAUUGGGCAGAAGAUACAAAAGCUUAACACAUGUUCCAACAGGUUCAAGAACAGCUUCUUCACCGCUGUUAAUAGACUGCUGAAUGGACCUCUCUAAUUUCAAAUCGAAUGUUGAUCUUGCUUUUUGCAGCCAUACCUUUGUAUUCCCUGUGGUGUUCAAUCACCCUAUGAUCUUUGUAUGUUAUGAUCGGCCUGUGCUGAACGCAAAACAAAACUUUUCACUAUGCUUGUGCACAUUUGAUAAUAAUAAAUCAAAUCAAAUACA
Stegostoma tigrinum is the source of this 1057-nucleotide long non-coding RNA. RefSeq lists it as uncharacterized. The transcript is spliced from 2 exons. Lineage: Eukaryota; Metazoa; Chordata; Chondrichthyes; Orectolobiformes; Stegostomatidae. The record is from RefSeq and is a predicted model, not a curated record.